UGGCGAACGGGUGAGUAACACGUAGGUGAUCUGCCCAUCAGACGGGGACAACGAUUGGAAACGAUCGCUAAUACCGGAUAGGACGAAGUUUAAAGAUGCUCCUGGCAUCACUGAUGGAUGAGCCUGCGGCGCAUUAGCUAGUUGGUGGGGUAAAGGCCUACCAAGGCGACGAUGCGUAGCCGACCUGAGAGGGUGAACGGCCACACUGGGACUGAGACACGGCCCAGACUCCUACGGGAGGCAGCAG
RNAcentral lists this ribosomal RNA (247 nucleotides) under uncultured bacterium. Its description in RNAcentral is "partial 16S ribosomal RNA". It matches the Rfam family "Bacterial small subunit ribosomal RNA", at positions 96 to 354 of the family's 1533-position model. The record is from RNAcentral.